GAUGAACGCUGGCGGCGUGCCUAAUACAUGCAAGUCGAGCGAACAGACGAGGAGCUUGCUCCUCUGACGUUAGCGGCGGACGGGUGAGUAACACGUGGAUACCCUACCUAUAAGUCUGGGAUAACUUCGGGAAACCGGAGCAAAUACCGUAUAAUAUAUUGAUCCGCAGGGUUCAUUAGUAAAAGACGGUUGUUCGGUCUCUUCUCGCGGGUUCUGCGCCGCAUUGGCUGGUUGUGACGGUAAAGGCUUACCAAGGCGAGGAUGCGUAGCCGACCUGAGAGGGUGAUCGGCCACACUGGAACUGAGACACGGUCCAGACUCCUACGGGAGGCAGCAGUAGGGAAUCUUCCGCAAUGGGCGAAAGCCUGACGGAGCAACGCCGAGUGAGUGAUGAAGGUCUUCGGAUCGUAAAACUCUGUUAUUAGGGAAGAACAAAUGUGUAAGUAACUAUGCACGUCUUGACGGUACCUAAUCAGAAAGCCACGGCUAACUACGUG
This 497-nucleotide ribosomal RNA is filed under the name uncultured bacterium. RNAcentral's name for it is "partial 16S ribosomal RNA". It matches the Rfam family "Bacterial small subunit ribosomal RNA", at positions 28 to 507 of the family's 1533-position model. The record is from RNAcentral.